UCCUCCAAGGCUAAAUACUCCUGACUGACCGAUAGUGAACCAGUACCGUGAGGGAAAGGCGAAAAGAACCCCGGCGAGGGGAGUGAAAAAGAACCUGAAACCGUGUACGUACAAGCAGUGGGAGCACCCUUUGGGGUGUGACUGCGUACCUUUUGUAUAAUGGGUCAGCGACUUAUAUUCUGUAGCAAGGUUAACCGAAUAGGGGAGCCGCAGGGAAACCGAGUCUUAAUUGGGCGUUAAGUUGCAGGGUAUAGACCCGAAACCCGGUGAUCUAGCCAUGGGCAGGUUGAAGGUUGGGUAACACUAACUGGAGGACCGAACCGACUAAUGUUGAAAAAUUAGCGGAUGACCUGUGGCUGGGGGUGAAAGGCCAAUCAAACCGGGAGAUAGCUGGUUCUCCCCGAAAGCUAUUUAGGUAGCGCCUCGUGAAUUCAUCUCCGGGGGUAGAGCACUGUUUCGGCUAGGGGGCCAUCCCGGCUUACCAACCCGAUGCAAACUGCGAAUACCGGAGAAUGUUAUCACGGGAGACACACGGCGGGUGCUAACGUCCGUCGUGAAGAGGGAAACAACCCAGACCGCCAGCUAAGGUCCCAAAGUCAUGGUUAAGUGGGAAACGAUGUGGGAAGGCCCAGACAGCCAGGAUGUUGGCUUAGAAGCAGCCAUCAUUUAAAGAAAGCGUAAUAGCUCACUGGUCGAGUCGGCCUGCGCGGAAGAUGUAACGGGGCUAAACCAUGCACCGAAGCUGCGGCAGCGA
RNAcentral lists this ribosomal RNA (754 nucleotides) under Salmonella enterica subsp. enterica serovar Goldcoast. RNAcentral describes it as "partial 23S ribosomal RNA". It matches the Rfam family "Bacterial large subunit ribosomal RNA", at positions 456 to 1211 of the family's 2925-position model. The record is from RNAcentral. Lineage: Bacteria; Pseudomonadati; Pseudomonadota; Gammaproteobacteria; Enterobacterales; Enterobacteriaceae.